This is an unclassified non-coding RNA of Acyrthosiphon pisum (pea aphid), 1406 nucleotides long. The record is from RefSeq and is a predicted model, not a curated record. NCBI's taxonomy places the organism in Eukaryota, Metazoa, Arthropoda, Insecta, Hemiptera, Aphididae.
UUGACAUCGAAAUCGAAUAAUGGAUGACGUGAUACAAGUGUACACAAACAAUAAAGGUGCGCAAUCAAUAAUUUACCAAAAGUAUUCAUAUCGACUUUUUCGUACUAAUAAAAAUUCUGGGGACUUAGUUUGGCGUUGCAAUAAUAAGUUAUGUAGUGUUACGGUGACGACAAAUUCAAAUGUAAAUGUAUUCAUCAAACAGAAUAAAAGUAAACAUCACCAUGAAACAAAUGAAAUUAACCCAGAAUUAAAAGAAAUUCGAUGUGGCGUUAAACGUAAUUCAAAAUUGGAUUUAAACGAAAAACCUUUAAAAAUUGUAAGGAAAGAAUUAUCUACGUCUUCAGUGAGUGCAGAUAAUAUUGAUGCUAUGAGACAGUCUAUGUAUCGUGAAAGACGAAAACUUCUACCCCUUGUGCCUGUGUCACUCUCAGAUGCUCUUAAUAAGGUAAAGGAAUCAAACAUCACACGAAAUAAUGGUGAACAAUUUGUGUUUGUCAAUGAAUGAGUCCACUCAAAUAAUAAUAGUGACAUGUAAAACAAAUUUUCAAUUUUUAUGCAAUGAAAUUGAAUUUAUAUUAGCAGACGGAACUUUUACUUAUUGCCCGAAACAUUUUUAUCAACAAUAUACCAUCCACGGCGUUUGUAAAAAUUAUUACGUACCACUUGUUUUUUGUUUUUUGCCAUCAAAAACAAAAGAUAUUUAUAAACAAAUGUGGGAAACAAUAAAAGACUUAUGUUUAAAUAAUGCCAGUAGUGUAUUCCAGCCUUCCCUCUUACUAUUAAAUUUUGAACUUGGUACUCACAUUGCUGCUAAAGAAGUAAUUCCUUUAAUUAUUAUUAAAGCCUGUCGUUUCCAUCUUGGUCAAGCAUGGUACAGAAAAAUCAGUUCCAUUCCAAUAUUUAAAAAAAACUACGACGAUAAAAAUUCACAAUCUGGACUAUGGUUAAAACUUUAUUUUGGUUUGCCUUAUAUUACCAUCACAUAUGAUUUCUGAGGCGUUUAUUGAGAUAAUAGCUACUUGUCCAGAAGAAAAACAAUAUUAUGAUUUUACUGAUUACAUAUUGGAUAAUUAUAUUGAGACUAAUAAUUUUUCACCAAUGUUGUGGGCAGAAGAGCCCAAUAAAAGUACAAGAACGACGAACGGUGCAGAAAGUUAUCAUAGUCAACUUAGGCAUGAAUUCUAUGUUCCACAUCCUACUAUAUUUCAUUCGAUAGAUGUGUUAAAAGAACAACAAAUAAUUACUGAAACCAAAUUUCGCCUCAUACGAAACGGAAACGUGAACCGUACACGCAAAGUAUGCAGGGAGAAAGAAAAAUCUAUUUUAAAAUAUUAUAUGAUCGUUUCAUUAACAACGAAAUUAGCUUGAUUGAUUAUUUAAAAACAUUAGGAUGUAAGUUUAUUUCA